This 667-nucleotide unclassified non-coding RNA is filed under the name Venturia canescens. RNAcentral's name for it is "uncharacterized LOC122417607, transcript variant X1". Lineage: Eukaryota; Metazoa; Arthropoda; Insecta; Hymenoptera; Ichneumonidae. The record is from RNAcentral.
UUUUGAAACGUGCAGAGGCAGACAUAGUCGCUGGGGGAUCGCCCCUAUCUCUCGCCCACCGUGAGGUACAGUCGGUCUGAAAAAAUUGGUACAAGCAGGUUCAAGUGAUCGAAAACAUUAUUUCUCUUUCCAAUUACAUCUCGCGAUCGGCAAGAAGCUCACGAUCGAUCAAGGCAACACAGUGGUCACGCCUGACAAUGGAAUUUUGACAACCGAAGUUCCAAUCAAGAGAGUUCAACCGAUAACUUACUUCAAAGGUUUCGAUACGGGCACCCUUUACGAGAACAAAAAUGUUACAGUACACCGGUAAGAUAACCGAUGUCAAGACCCCUGUAUACGAGUUCGGCUGGGAAGCAGAGUUCGAUGUUUGCGAGGAUCUCGACGACGGUACUUGGGAAGACGCAACGGGGCAAAUAAUACGGAAAACAUGGUUCCCUGAUGGUGCUUGUCCAGUCAAAGCGGGUAACUAUACGAUAUCAAAUCCAACUGGGCCAAUAGAAGUGAAUCUACGAGAGAAAGUGGUGCAGUCAAUCUAUGCCAUAGAAGUGCAGGUUGGGCAUUCAGCAUCCGAGAUUGUUUUUUCGACGAUGUUCGCUUUUACAACGUAGUUUGAGCUACGGAUUGAAAUAAAUGAAAUAAAAAUAAACUCACCAAAUAUUUCAGUUUA